CUCUAUUAUUGUGUAUUAUAGGGGCAGUUGUAUAAACCUAGGGGCGGUUCUUUUAAAAAAAACUAACCCUAGCAAAAUCAAUUUCUUUUUUCCAUUCUUCUUCUCGUCGGCCUCACAUCCUCUCAACUCAAACACUGUGACAAUGGCGAAUCUGACCUAAUUCACUCCACUCCACUUCACUAACAAUGUCGAAUCUGACCUAAUUCACUCCACUCCACUUCACUAACAAUGGCGAAUCUGACCUAGCCGCUGAUUCACUCCACUCCACUUCACUAACAAUGGCGAAUCUGACCUAGCAGCUGAUUCACUCCACUCUACUUCACUAACAUUGACGAAGCGGUUUUUAUUAGCAACUGAAUCGCUCACUUCACUUAGGUUCAUUUCACUCCAUUAGCAGCUGAAUCGCUCUCUCAUCCUCACGAGCACUAGCAGCAAAUCUCAUAUCAAUGAGAGAGAGUUUAUUGAUAUCGAGAAACGAAAACGGCGUAGACAGAAUCGUCUAAAUCCAAAUGACCUGGAAGUACUGAUAAAUGAAAAUUUUCAUGUUUGGCUCCACAGCAAGGUUAUAGGUCUAGCGCGUGACUCGAAUAUCUCUGUUGAAAUUAUGGCCCUAGGUAGGGGUCCUAACAAGGUAGCAAGAAGAUUUUCUGGUUUCAUUAUUAAUGGAAUUAGAUUUCAUACCAAGACCCGUGAAGAGCAAAGACUGACCCAAAAUAGCGGUGUAGUUAACAAAUCAGAAGGAGGGGGUGUGGAAUACUUUGGAAAACUAAGAGAUAUUAUUGAACUAAAUUACUAUGGGAGUUUCAAGAUUGUGUUAUUUAAACGUGAUUGGAUUGAUGUUCAUCGUAGUGCUGGAAUGAAAAAAGAUGAAUAUGGGUAUACAUUAGUUAACUUCUCUCGGUUAAUUCAUACGGGUGACAAUGUAACUGAUGAUCCGUAUAUUUUUUCUUCUCAAGCUGAUCAAGUGUUCUAUGUGGAAGAUCCAAGUAAUCUAAACUGGCAUGUGGUUAUCAAAAUUAAACCCAGAGAUGCAUUUGAUAUGGGCCAUGAAGAAGAAGAUGAUCAUUCUUUUACUUCUGUUAGUAGGCAGAUUUUAUGUGAAAAGUGCUCAAUAUUGAUCACUUAUUAGACGCAUCCACAACUAUAUGGAAUAUGGAAAAGGGUGAAAAGAUAUUUGUAGAGGCGGAUGGAUUUGGAGUUCCGUGCUCUAGAGAAGGUGCAACACUUGGAUCCUUCUUGGGAACUAUUGCAGUGAAUGGGAAAUAUGCACCAUUGGAUAUGCCGAGAUGGGACAACAAAGAUUAUAAGUCAUUUCGUGAUGAUAUUUUGACUUUAGUGCAAUUUGAUCUGAAAUUACAGUAUUACAGCUGAGAUAAAUCUAAGGAACAAGUCAAAACAGAUGUUCCAAAAGGGAUUGAAAUAACUCAAUGGCGUAUUUUGGUCAAUGGAUGGUAUACUGAGAGAAGUCAGAGAUUGAGCCAGAUAAAUACUGCCAAUGCAAAUAAGAAGAAAAACAAGCAAACUACUGGAAGAAAAAGCUAUGCAAGACUUCGAAAAGAAAUGGACAUACAAAGUGGGGUGGCCCCUGACCGACUUACUUUUUUUGACACGACCCAUAGAAAGAAGUUAACCGCCCCUACGUACUUGUAUCUAUUAGGGGCGGAAUAUAGGGGCAGUUAUAAACGCCGUUUUUCCGAGCGCCACUACUGUACAGAGGCGGCUUUUGCAACUGCCGGGGUAACUUUUAUAUCUAGGGGCGGAAUAUAAGGGCGGUUAUAACCGCCUCGGGUUUAUAUUAGUAGGGGCAUCAUUCCAUCACCAAGCAAUGUGCUUCCUUUUGCAGGAUGUUUUUGAAGUCCACUGAUUACAAUGUUUAGAAUCAUUUAUGGAAUUUUGGUUAUUAGUUUUACUGAAAGGCAUACUAUUGGAUGAUUGUUUAGAAUGAUUUAUGAAAAUUUGAUUAUUAAUUUCAAUGAAAAGCAUUUUAUGUGUAA
Molecule: long non-coding RNA, 1994 nt
Organism: Mercurialis annua (annual mercury)
Lineage: Eukaryota; Viridiplantae; Streptophyta; Magnoliopsida; Malpighiales; Euphorbiaceae
Exons: 5
Source: RefSeq, a predicted model, not a curated record